AUUGAACGCUGGCGGCAGGCCUAACACAUGCAAGUCGAGCGGAUGAAGGGAGCUUGCUCCUGGAUUCAGCGGCGGACGGGUGAGUAAUGCCUAGGAAUCUGCCUGGUAGUGGGGGAUAACGUCCGGAAACGGGCGCUAAUACCGCAUACGUCCUGAGGGAGAAAGUGGGGGAUCUUCGGACCUCACGCUAUCAGAUGAGCCUAGGUCGGAUUAGCUAGUUGGUGGGGUAAAGGCCUACCAAGGCGACGAUCCGUAACUGGUCUGAGAGGAUGAUCAGUCACACUGGAACUGAGACACGGUCCUGACUCCUGCGGGAGGCAGCAGUGGGGAAUAUUGGACAAUGGGCGGAAACCUGAUCCAGCCGUGCCGCGUGUGUGAAGAAGGUCUUCGGAUUGUAAAGCACUUUAAGUUGGGAGAAAGGGCAGUAAGUUAAUACCUUGCUGUUUUGACGUUACCAACAGAAUAAGCACCGGCUAACUUCGUG
Molecule: ribosomal RNA, 484 nt
Filed under: uncultured bacterium
Lineage: Bacteria
Description: partial 16S ribosomal RNA
Rfam family: Bacterial small subunit ribosomal RNA
Source: RNAcentral